Molecule: ribosomal RNA, 468 nt
Filed under: uncultured bacterium
Lineage: Bacteria
Description: partial 16S ribosomal RNA
Rfam family: Bacterial small subunit ribosomal RNA
Source: RNAcentral
GACGAACGCUGGCGGCGUGCUUAAUACAUGCAAGUCGAACGGAAAGGCCCUGCUUUUGUGGGGUGCUCGAGUGGCGAACGGGUGAGUAACACGUGAGUAACCUGCCCUUGACUUUGGGAUAACUUCAGGAAACUGGGGCUAAUACCGGAUAGGAGCUCCUGCUGCAUGGUGGGGGUUGGAAAGUUUCGGCGGUUGGGGAUGGACUCGCGGCUUAUCAGCUUGUUGGUGGGGUAGUGGCUUACCAAGGCUUUGACGGGUAGCCGGCCUGAGAGGGUGACCGGCCACAUUGGGACUGAGAUACGGCCCAGACUCCCACGGGAGGCAGCAGUGGGGAAUAUUGCACAAUGGGCGGAAGCCUGAUGCAGCAACGCCGCGUGCGGGAUGACGGCCUUCGGGUUGUAAACCGCUUUCGCCAGUGACGAAGCGUGAGUGACGGUAAUGGGUAAAGAAGCACCGGCUAACUACGUG